RNAcentral lists this ribosomal RNA (885 nucleotides) under Triticum aestivum (bread wheat). RNAcentral's name for it is "partial small subunit ribosomal RNA". Lineage: Eukaryota; Viridiplantae; Streptophyta; Magnoliopsida; Poales; Poaceae. The record is from RNAcentral.
AUGAAAUCCAUCACGAGAGCCCUCUGCACUCGCCUUCAGCGGCACAUCCACUCCUUGGUGGACCCCGACCAGACGGGUUUCCUUCCCGGAAGGCGCAUCUCUGAGAACAUCGUGUACGCUGCGGACCUCCUCCGUGCCUGCCAUGUGCGUAAGGUCCCCAUUGUAGUGUUUAAAAUCGACUUCCGCAAAGCCUUUGACUCUGUCAACUGGUCAAGCCUUCUCACGAUCUUGUCUGCGCGCGGGUUUGACGAACGUUGGUGCGGAUGGAUCCAUGCCAUCCUCUCAACCGGGCACACGUCGGUUCUCCUUAAUAAUGUUCCCGGGGACUGGAUCCUUUGCCGCAACGGCCUCCGCCAAGGCGACGCCCUAUCUCCUUAUCUCUUUAUCAUUGUGGCCGAUGUCCUUCAGCGCCUGAUCAAGACGGCCAGCGCUACCGGGCAGCUGGCGCACCCAAUCGACGCCUCCCUCCCUUGCCAUGUCCUGCAAUAUGCAGAUGAUACCCUUAUCCUUUGUCGCGCCGACAUUCCCUCCGUCACCCUUCUCAAAAAAACUCUCGAUGCCUUUGCCCUCGCGACCGGGCUUGCUAUUAAUUUCCAUAAGUCUAGGUUCAUUCCCAUGCAUUGCGCCCCCGAGCUGUCAACUGAAAUGGCUUCGAUCCUCGGAUGCCCUAUCUCCACCUUUCCCCAACCCUACCUCGGUCUUCCUCUCUCCCCUCUCAAACUCCCCAUCUCUGCUUACGACCCCCUCAUAAGGUCUUUUGACCGCUAUUUGUCCGGGUGGCGCGCUCUUCUCCUUUCCUCAGGUGGUAGGCUUGUCCUCUGCAACGCGGUCCUUAAUAACCUUGCCACUUAUUUUAUGUGCUCCUAUAUGCUGCCCCUGGAGUGA